UCUUCUUUAGCUUAAGUUUAAAGCGGUAGUUUGAAGCACUUGAUAUAGUCUUUUGGCUAGGAAGAG
This 66-nucleotide transfer RNA is filed under the name Paradiplozoon opsariichthydis. RNAcentral describes it as "tRNA-Phe". The record is from RNAcentral. Lineage: Eukaryota; Metazoa; Platyhelminthes; Monogenea; Mazocraeidea; Diplozoidae.